GUAGGUGGCAAGCGUUGUCCGGAAUUAUUGGGCGUAAAGCGCGCGCAGGCGGUUCUUUAAGUCUGAUGUGAAAGCCCACGGCUCAACCGUGGAGGGUCAUUGGAAACUGGAGAACUUGAGUACAGAAGAGGAAAGCGGAAUUCCACGUGUAGCGGUGAAAUGCGUAGAGAUGUGGAGGAACACCAGUGGCGAAGGCGGCUUUCUGGUCUGUAACUGACGCUGAGGCGCGAAAGCGUGGGGAGCAAACAGGAUUAGAUACCCUGGUAGUCCACGCCGUAAACGAUGAGUGCUAAGUGUUAGGGGGUUUCCGCCCCCCUUAGUGCUGCAGCUAACGCAUUAAGCACUCCGCCUGGGAGUACGGCCGCGAGGCUG
RNAcentral lists this ribosomal RNA (372 nucleotides) under uncultured organism. RNAcentral describes it as "partial 16S ribosomal RNA". It matches the Rfam family "Bacterial small subunit ribosomal RNA", at positions 527 to 896 of the family's 1533-position model. The record is from RNAcentral.